Molecule: ribosomal RNA, 406 nt
Filed under: uncultured bacterium
Lineage: Bacteria
Description: partial 16S ribosomal RNA
Rfam family: Bacterial small subunit ribosomal RNA
Source: RNAcentral
AUUGAACGCUGGCGGCAUGCCUAACACAUGAAAGUCGAACGAGUGGCGGACGGGUGAGUAAUGAAUGGGAACCUGCCUGAUGGAGGGGGCUAACUACUGGAAACGGUAGCUAAUACCGCAUACCAUCAGAUGUGCCCACAUGGGAUUAGCUAGGUGGUGGGGUAACGCCUCACAAAGGCGACGAUCCCUAGCUGGUCUGAGAGGAGGACCAGCCACACUGGAACUGAGACACGGUCCAGACUCCUACGGGAGGCAGCAGUGGGGAAUAUUGCACAAUGGGCGCAAGCCUGAUGCAGCCAUGCCGCGUGUAUGAAGAAGGCCUUCGGGUUGUAAAGUACUUUCAGCGGGGAGGCGUGACCCGCAGAAGAAGCACCGGCUAACUCCGUGCCAGCAGCCGCGGUAAUUC